Molecule: ribosomal RNA, 774 nt
Filed under: uncultured Neocallimastigales
Lineage: Eukaryota; Fungi; Neocallimastigomycota; Neocallimastigomycetes; Neocallimastigales
Description: partial large subunit ribosomal RNA
Rfam family: Eukaryotic large subunit ribosomal RNA
Source: RNAcentral
CGCAUCUGUGCAUGCAGCAUAUCAAUAAGCGGAGGAAAAGAAACUAACAAGGAUUCCCUUAGUAACGGCGAGUGAAGCGGGAAGAGCUCAAAUUUGAAAUUUCAAGGUUUUACCUUGACGAAUUGUAGUUUAAAGAAGUGUUUUCUGCUGAAGUUUUGGUAAAAGUUCUUUGGAAUAGGACAUCAUAGAGGGUGAGAAUCCCGUAUUUGACCAUUAUUUUCAGCUUUGUGAUACACUUUCAAAGAGUCGGAUUGUUUGGGAAUGCAGUCCAAAAUGGGUGGUAAAUUUCAUCUAAAGCUAAAUAUUGGCGAGAGACCGAUAGCGAACAAGUACCGUGAGGGAAAGAUGAAAGGAACUUUGAAAAGAGAGUUAAACAGUACGUGAAAUUGUCAAAAGGGAAGCGUUUGACACCAGUGUUGUUUUCUCGAAAAUCAAUUAAAAAUGGCUCGAUUUUGUAUUGCUUGAGACCUUAAAAGCUCACUGUACAUUUUUCGUGUCUUUUUUAAUGCACUUUUCGUUUAACAAGUCAACAUCAGUUUCUUUUGUUGUAAAAGGGUCAUUGGAAGGUGGCUUUCUUUUCGGAGAAAGUGUUUAUAGCCUUUGGCCUCUGCAAUCGAAGAGACUGAGGUCUGCAGCGUAGACUCUUCGGGGUUAGAUACAUUUGUGCUAAGUUAUAGCUUUUUAUAGACAACUUGUUGACUAUAAUUAGUCUUGUAGCUUACUCGCUUAUGCUAUUUUACCUACGCUUAGGAUGUUGACGCAUGAGAUAUACGC